Molecule: ribosomal RNA, 572 nt
Filed under: Cadophora prunicola
Lineage: Eukaryota; Fungi; Ascomycota; Leotiomycetes; Helotiales; Ploettnerulaceae
Description: partial large subunit ribosomal RNA
Rfam family: Eukaryotic large subunit ribosomal RNA
Source: RNAcentral
GAACCAACAGGGAUUACCUCAGUAACGGCGAGUGAAGCGGUAACAGCUCAAAUUUGAAAGCUAGCUCUUCUAGGGUUCGCAUUGUAAUUUGUAGAAGAUGCUUCGGGUGUGGCCCCGGUCUAAGUUCCUUGGAACAGGACGUCAUAGAGGGUGAGAAUCCCGUAUGUGACUGGGUGCUUUCGCUCAUGUGAAGCUCUUUCGACGAGUCGAGUUGUUUGGGAAUGCAGCUCAAAAUGGGUGGUAAAUUUCAUCUAAAGCUAAAUAUUGGCCAGAGACCGAUAGCGCACAAGUAGAGUGAUCGAAAGAUGAAAAGCACUUUGGAAAGAGAGUUAAACAGUACGUGAAAUUGUUGAAAGGGAAGCGCUUGCAACCAGACUUGCGCGCUGAUGAUCAUCCGGGCUUCUGCCCGGUGCACUCGUCUGCGCUCAGGCCAGCAUCGGUUUCGGUGGUGGGAUAAAGGCCUUGGGAAUGUAGCUUCUUUCGGGGAGUGUUAUAGCCCUCGGUGCAAUGCCGCCUACCGGGACCGAGGACCGCGCUUCGGCUAGGAUGCUGGCGUAAUGGUUGUAAGCGAC